UGACUCCUGCAGAGGCAAGGCUGCAGCAUUAUCGUGGUGAUGGCGUGUGCGAUUAUCACCUAUCAUUGAGAUAAUUGGGUAAUAGGGUUAAUGGGUUUUGCUGUGGUGCUCGGCGCUCCUCAUUACAAACAGGUACAGACUGCUUUAUUUAUGACUUCUACACUUCACCAGAUGUCCAGUGGCAUCAGGACGAGCCAGAGUUACUCUGAAGUUGGCAUCCAGAUUCACAGCAGUGUAGGGGAACCUUCACUCCUGGACUCCUGCAGCCCCUGCCUGUUCCCCUCCACCCCUGCUCAUACUGUGGACGUGUCAUGUGUUUGCCUCCAUCUAAAGUUUGUGUCUUUCCUUCCUUUCCUCUGUCUUUCUGUGUCCUCAUCUUGCAGGUAGCAGGAUCCAGAUCUAUGUUUGAGGGUAUUAUUAUCAUUCUUAUCAUAAAUAUCAUCACCAUUAUCAUUGUGCUGUAAUUAAAGUUGAUAUCAGUA
Molecule: long non-coding RNA, 482 nt
Organism: Solea solea (common sole)
Lineage: Eukaryota; Metazoa; Chordata; Actinopteri; Pleuronectiformes; Soleidae
Exons: 3
Source: RefSeq, a predicted model, not a curated record